This 827-nucleotide ribosomal RNA is filed under the name human gut metagenome. RNAcentral's name for it is "bacterial SSU rRNA". It matches the Rfam family "Bacterial small subunit ribosomal RNA", at positions 611 to 1436 of the family's 1533-position model. The record is from RNAcentral.
AACGGUGGAUCUGCGCCGGGUACGGGCGGGCUGGAGUGCGGUAGGGGAGACUGGAAUUCCCGGUGUAACGGUGGAAUGUGUAGAUAUCGGGAAGAACACCAAUGGCGAAGGCAGGUCUCUGGGCCGUUACUGACGCUGAGGAGCGAAAGCGUGGGGAGCGAACAGGAUUAGAUACCCUGGUAGUCCACGCCGUAAACGGUGGAUGCUGGAUGUGGGGCCCUUCCACGGGUCCCGUGUCGGAGCCAACGCGUUAAGCAUCCCGCCUGGGGAGUACGGCCGCAAGGCUAAAACUCAAAGAAAUUGACGGGGGCCCGCACAAGCGGCGGAGCAUGCGGAUUAAUUCGAUGCAACGCGAAGAACCUUACCUGGGCUUGACAUGUUCCCGACGACGGCAGAGAUGUCGUUUCCCUUCGGGGCGGGUUCACAGGUGGUGCAUGGUCGUCGUCAGCUCGUGUCGUGAGAUGUUGGGUCAAGUCCCGCAACGAGCGCAACCCUCGCCCCGUGUUGCCAGCGCGUCAUGGCGGGAACUCACGGGGGACCGCCGGGGUUAACCCGGAGGAAGGUGGGGAUGACGUCAGAUCAUCAUGCCCCUUACGUCCAGGGCUUCACGCAUGCUACAAUGGCCGGUACAGCGGGAUGCGACAUGGUGACAUGGAGCGGAUCCCUGAAAACCGGUCUCAGUUCGGAUCGGAGUCUGCAACCCGACUCCAUGAAGGCGGAGUCGCUAGUAAUCGCGGAUCAGCAACGCCGCGGUGAAUGCGUUCCCGGGCCUUGUACACACCGCCCGUCAAGUCAUGAAAGUGGGCAGCACCCGAAGCCGGUGGCCU